Ciona intestinalis (vase tunicate) is the source of this 997-nucleotide non-coding RNA. The record is from RefSeq and is a predicted model, not a curated record. NCBI's taxonomy places the organism in Eukaryota, Metazoa, Chordata, Ascidiacea, Phlebobranchia, Cionidae.
CUUAGUUGUCCGAAAGAACCUUCGAUUGGUUUGCAACAGAAGUCAUUAAAAAGCUACAAAACAACCUACAUCCUCAAAUGUUCAUUAUUGAAUAAACGAAAGUAUAAGAAACAAAAAUUUAAUUUAGAUUACCUGACCAACAUGGGGAUCUGUUAAAGCAGGAAAUUGAACUUCAAAACUUAAAGAAACAGAACGUACGGUUUGAGAAUCUUUGUCCUUUUCUGACUUUUCUCAUUGUUGAACUGCAUAUAAUGUUAAAUGAAUACAAGUUUCAUAUUAUAUUCAUGGUAUAUGUGGUCAACAUUCAUGCUGAGUUGCUUCCUUUGCCCAAAUCUGACCAUGUUGGCACUCCAGCUUGGUAAAAAAUUUAACCACAUAUAGGAUAUUUUCAUCGCACCAAACAUUUCUUUAGAUCUGUUUAAAACAAAAAAUAAAACUUUAAUUUACGGCAUGUUUGUUUCUUCUUAAAAUAAACAAAUUUUGUUGUUGUUUCCACUUUAAAUACUUGAAUGCAAUAAAAAGAGUUAUUAGUUGUAUUCGACUAAAACAUGAUUUACGUUAGGUAGACAAGGAAGUCUUACAAAGUGCUAUGCUAUCUUAUUUGACGUUAUGCUCCAGGGGUAGGUAGUCUUAAAAAGUGCUAUACCACUUUAUUUUACGUUAUGCUCCAGGGGUAGGUAGUCUUAAAAAGUGCUAUACCACUUUAUAUUACGUUAUGCUCCAGGGGUAGGCAGUCGUAAAAAGUGCUAUACCACUUUAUAUUACGUUAUGCUCCAGGGUUAGGUAGUCUUAAAAGGGCUAUACCACUUUAUAUUACGUUAUGCUCCAGGGGUAGGUAGUCUUAAAAAGUGCUAUACUACCUUAUUUUACGUUAUGCUCCAGGGGUAUGAGCAAGUUGGGACUUCCCCUAAUAUUAACAGCGAAAAUAUUAUAAGAUAUCUAUUGACUCACAGUACGGACUACGGAUGCCUCAGGGGUACGAAAUAAAGAGCCUACC